This 420-nucleotide non-coding RNA is filed under the name Aliivibrio fischeri SR5. Lineage: Bacteria; Pseudomonadati; Pseudomonadota; Gammaproteobacteria; Vibrionales; Vibrionaceae. The record is from RNAcentral.
UGUCGGAAGGAUGCUGACACGGAACAGGAACUAGCCAAGGAUUUGGUACGCUUCAGGAUGAGGCACUCGGUUACUUAGGAUUAGUAAUCGGCAUGGAUAGCGAAAUGGACAUUGAAUGGACGCAAUAGUAACUAGGAUGGUUGCUACUAAGGAAAGACAAUGGACACCUCUAGGAUUGAGGUAAAUGGACUGCACAUCAGGAUGAUGUAAAGGACACCGCUCAAGGAACAAGCGAAGAGAGUUAACUAAGGAUUGUUAACGGAUCAGGAUAGAUCAUGGACACCGCUAGGAUGGCGACGAAAGGAAUAAGCUGACGGAUUCAGCAUACUAUCAAGGAUUUGAUGCAUGGAGCACCAUUAGUAGCCGGAUUGCUGCGAGUAAAGUUAUAGCCCCGCUAGAUGAAAAUCUAGUGGGGCUUUU